This 398-nucleotide ribosomal RNA is filed under the name uncultured bacterium. RNAcentral describes it as "bacterial SSU rRNA". It matches the Rfam family "Bacterial small subunit ribosomal RNA", at positions 357 to 772 of the family's 1533-position model. The record is from RNAcentral.
GGGAAUAUUGGACAAUGGGCGCAAGCCUGAUCCAGCAAUGCCGCGUGUGUGAAGAAGGUCUUCGGAUUGUAAAGCACUUUCGACGGGGACGAUGAUGACGGUACCCGUAGAAGAAGCCCCGGCUAACUUCGUGCCAGCAGCCGCGGUAAUACGAAGGGGGCUAGCGUUGCUCGGAAUGACUGGGCGUAAAGGGCGCGUAGGCGGCUUGUACAGUCAGAUGUGAAAUUCCCGGGCUUAACCUGGGGGCUGCAUUUGAUACGUGCGGGCUAGAGUGUGAAAGAGGGUCGUGGAAUUCCCAGUGUAGAGGUGAAAUUCGUAGAUAUUGGGAAGAACACCGGUGGCGAAGGCGGCGACCUGGUUCAUGACUGACGCUGAGGCGCGAAAGCGUGGGGAGCAAA